This 72-nucleotide transfer RNA is filed under the name Proscyllium habereri (graceful catshark). RNAcentral describes it as "tRNA-Gln". It matches the Rfam family "tRNA". From Rfam's summary of the family: Transfer RNA (tRNA) molecules are approximately 80 nucleotides in length. Their secondary structure includes four short double-helical elements and three loops (D, anti-codon, and T loops). The record is from RNAcentral. Lineage: Eukaryota; Metazoa; Chordata; Chondrichthyes; Carcharhiniformes; Proscylliidae.
UAGGAAAUGGUAUAAUAGGGAGUACGGAGGGUUUUGAUCUCUCAGGUACAGGUUCAAAUCCUGUUUUUCUAG